AACACAUGCAAGUCGAGGGCAUCAUGUCGGUUGCUUGCAACCGAUGAUGGCGACCGGCGCACGGGUGAGUAACGCGUAUCCAACCUCCCUUAGUAGGGCAUAGCCCGUAGAAAUGCGGAUUAACACCCUAUGUUCUUCAUGGAUGGCAUCUGACGUGAAGCAAAGUUUACGCUAAGGGGAUGGGGAUGCGUCUGAUUAGGUUGCAGGCGGGGUAACGGCCCACCUGGCCGACGAUCAGUAGGGGUUCUGAGAGGAAGGUCCCCCACAUUGGAACUGAGACACGGUCCAAACUCCUACGGGAGGCAGCAGUGAGGAAUAUUGGUCAAUGGGCGCGAGCCUGAACCAGCCAAGUAGCCGUGCAGGAUGACGGCCCUAUGGGUUGUAAACUGCUUUUAUCAGGGGAUAAAGUCGGCUACGCGUAGCCGUUUGUAGGUACCUGAUGAAUAAGGACCGGCUAAUUCCGUGCCAGCCGCCGC
Molecule: ribosomal RNA, 476 nt
Filed under: uncultured bacterium
Lineage: Bacteria
Description: bacterial SSU rRNA
Rfam family: Bacterial small subunit ribosomal RNA
Source: RNAcentral